GGCAGCCUGGCUUAGUGGAAAAGGAACAGGCUUUAGAGCCAGACUGCCUGGGUUUGAAUCCCAGCCUGUCA
Molecule: transfer RNA, 71 nt
Filed under: Mus musculus (house mouse)
Lineage: Eukaryota; Metazoa; Chordata; Mammalia; Rodentia; Muridae
Description: tRNA-Sec
Source: RNAcentral